GGUUGGGCCGCGGGCCCGGGCUUCGGGCUGUGCGCGCUCCAGCCUUUGGGUGCGUUGUGGCCCAGUGUAACUGAGCUCGCCCGCUUGCGGGUCUUCAAAUAGCCUUCUUUUUUCGUUCCCAACCAGAGCCGUCGCCUUUUUUCCGGAACUGAGCCCAAGGCCCACCAUUGCCAACCACCCACGCUGCCAGGAGGCUUCUUUGAGGCUCAGGGCAACGGUUGUCUUAGUUCUCCAGAUCCCACCAAAUCUUAAGGACACAGUGGGUAAGGCUAGCCCUUUCCUGAUCCCAAGGAGACCCAGAACAGGCUGGAAAAGCAAUGCCGCCUGGCUUCUGCAAACUGCACCCCUGAUCAAACCCGGAUAAAUGAGAUAUUAGAUGGUGCUGUGAACAAAACGCCAUGCGGAUUAGUUUCUAAACAGUGUUCCAAUGUAUAACCUCGAAAACAUUGUUGCGAAGUUGCUAGCUAAAGACAUAACAUGGCCAUUGCACCCUUGAAUUAAUAGCACCUGUGACUGCCUGCACACAACCUACACAAGAUUGGACCUGCCAGCAUCCUGUCAUGAAGAGGGGAAGACCUAUGGCUAGGCAAGGCACAGUAACAGGGAAUGCUGCCACCUGGAGGGCAAGUGCCACAGUGAAAGGUCUGUUCUCAGGCUCAGAGCUUUUGUGUGACUGCACCUUUGUCUUCAAGUCUGUGGCACAGAACACAUACGCGUGAUCCGAGUCAAACUGAGGCAGCACUGGCAGGGAAAGCCAUAUCAUAGACUGGAGAGCUUCAGUCCCAGAACCCAAAGGAUCAAAUUCAUCAUAUUUUAAGUGAUUAGUAAAAUAGAGAGAAAUGA
This is a long non-coding RNA of Peromyscus eremicus (cactus mouse), 843 nucleotides long. RefSeq lists it as uncharacterized. The record is from RefSeq and is a predicted model, not a curated record. NCBI's taxonomy places the organism in Eukaryota, Metazoa, Chordata, Mammalia, Rodentia, Cricetidae. The transcript has 4 exons.